This 667-nucleotide ribosomal RNA is filed under the name uncultured bacterium. RNAcentral describes it as "bacterial SSU rRNA". It matches the Rfam family "Bacterial small subunit ribosomal RNA", at positions 143 to 807 of the family's 1533-position model. The record is from RNAcentral.
AUAGCCCGGCGAAAGUCGGAUUAAUACCCCAUAAAACAGGGGUCCCGCAUGGGAAUAUUUGUUAAAGAUUCAUCGCUGAUAGAUAGGCAUGCGUUCCAUUAGGCAGUUGGCGGGGUAACGGCCCACCAAACCGACGAUGGAUAGGGGUUCUGAGAGGAAGGUCCCCCACAUUGGUACUGAGACACGGACCAAACUCCUACGGGAGGCAGCAGUGAGGAAUAUUGGUCAAUGGCCGAGAGGCUGAACCAGCCAAGUCGCGUGAAGGAAGAAGGAUCUAUGGUUUGUAAACUUCUUUUAUAGGGGAAUAAAGUGGAGGACGUGUCCUUUUUUGUAUGUACCCUAUGAAUAAGCAUCGGCUAACUCCGUGCCAGCAGCCGCGGUAAUACGGAGGAUGCGAGCGUUAUCCGGAUUUAUUGGGUUUAAAGGGUGCGUAGGUGGUGAUUUAAGUCAGCGGUGAAAGUUUGUGGCUCAACCAUAAAAUUGCCGUUGAAACUGGGUUACUUGAGUGUGUUUGAGGUAGGCGGAAUGCGUGGUGUAGCGGUGAAAUGCAUAGAUAUCACGCAGAACUCCGAUUGCGAAGGCAGCUUACUAAACCAUAACUGACACUGAAGCACGAAAGCGUGGGGAUCAAACAGGAUUAGAUACCCUGGUAGUCCACGCAGUAAAC